CCCAUUCACAUUGCCUUAAAUGGGUUAAACAACAAAACAACAAAGGUGGGGACAUAUCCCACUGUUUUCAUUUCCUUAUUUUACUUUGCUUGGUGGAUUUCAUUCUGAUCAUGCCUAAGCAACGUCUCUGCACGGCGCCAGGCGCCCCGCAAUCCCCUGUCUCCCUCCGGCUUCUCCAGCCUAAAGCAGAGAUACCGUUCUACGAUACUAACCCAGGUUGCUAUUGAUUAUUCAUUUUUCAUGGAGACUGUGAUGUCAGCCUCAUCUUCCCCCGAUCCAAAUUGCGUCACUGUUGAAGACAGUGAUGAUGAUGAUGAUGAUGAUGAUGAUUCCUAUGCCGGUGAAUGUAGCCUUAAUUACAACAACCGUGCUUGGGUUGAUGACAUCGACAACAUCAGUGACCGUUCCGAUAGCGACCAGGAGCUGCCCGAGAGCAAGAGGGCCUGAGAGGGGUAGAUUACACCGAAAAUGCGCUAUUCCCUUUUUUCUUUGCUUUUCUGUUUUUGGUCUAGUCUGCUUGGUACGAGCUCUGCGGAAGAUAUGUUAUCACCUUUUAUGGCAUUAUCAAUAAACUUCCCCAUUCCAGACUC
Silurus meridionalis is the source of this 590-nucleotide long non-coding RNA. RefSeq lists it as uncharacterized. NCBI's taxonomy places the organism in Eukaryota, Metazoa, Chordata, Actinopteri, Siluriformes, Siluridae. The record is from RefSeq and is a predicted model, not a curated record. The transcript is spliced from 2 exons.